UCCAAGUUGAUGCAGUAAUAUUUAGCCAACGAUAAAACUUUUACAGUGGUAUUCUUAUGUCACCAUCAUUAACAUACAUUUUUUUUUUUAUUAAACCUUCACUAUACAAUUUAUAGUGAAACAAUUCUCCAUUAGGGACAGCAUUGGGUAGAGUCCCUUGCAUCGACAAUUGUGACAAGCCCAAGAUGGUGGUGUGUGGCUUUGACAGACGGCAAGGAGCGAAACUCUUUGACAACUUAUGUGCCAUGGACGCAUGGAACCUCUGCUAUCACACAGAUUUUGAAGCCCAACCAACAAUUGAAGACUGUAUGAAAAUGUUUGAAGAAGAAUACUCAAGAGAAAGCAUGGUGCCCUUUAAAAAUCCUUUAAUAAUACAAAUGUAUAAACACAAUAAAGUAGACAAUCUGUACUUAUAAUAAUUGUUUUUGUGUG
RNA transcript from Macrosteles quadrilineatus (aster leafhopper), 432 nucleotides. RefSeq lists it as uncharacterized. The transcript has 3 exons. The record is from RefSeq and is a predicted model, not a curated record. NCBI's taxonomy places the organism in Eukaryota, Metazoa, Arthropoda, Insecta, Hemiptera, Cicadellidae.